UAAAUCAUCAUUUUUAUUAGGUGGAUAUUGCGUAUGCGCCAUUUGUUGUCGAAAGGUUCAAGCCUUUGUUUUCAGAGGUAAAGAAUUAUGACGUCACCAAAGGCAGGCCAAAGCUGACCAAAUGGAUUGAGGAGUUGAACAAGAUUGAUGCUUAUACAGCAACUAAGCAUGAUCCGACAGAGUUACUUGGUGGCAUUAAGAAACGAUUGGGAUUGAAUGAAGGUCCUCAAUGCCCCUUGCAGAAAUCGCGCAUUUGAGUUGACAUCCUGUGUUCUGAUGAGGUUCAUGCUGUUCUUCUGCUUUGUGAUGUACAAUAAAUAAAGUGUAGGUUUGAGGGGUAUGUUUGUGUGUAGUAUAACAAAAGAGUAUUAAGCCUUUAGGGAU
Molecule: long non-coding RNA, 384 nt
Organism: Asparagus officinalis (garden asparagus)
Lineage: Eukaryota; Viridiplantae; Streptophyta; Magnoliopsida; Asparagales; Asparagaceae
Exons: 4
Source: RefSeq, a predicted model, not a curated record